Long non-coding RNA from Amphiprion ocellaris (clown anemonefish), 1455 nucleotides. The record is from Ensembl. NCBI's taxonomy places the organism in Eukaryota, Metazoa, Chordata, Actinopteri, Pomacentridae.
CUGAACAUGAGACUUCAAGGAUUAGAGCCAGUUGUCUGCACACAUCAAAGCCUUUGGAAACAAGCUACAACUUUUCCAAAAACACUUGUCACAAACUGAGCCUGACACUGCACAUUUCUCAGCUCUACAGGAGGUAAUGAACAGUUUUCCACAGGACAAUAUUAAUACAUAAACAAUGAGUUUACCAACUCUCAGCUAUUGGACCGUGAUGAUGCUCCUCAUCAGCUGCAACUGGCUUUAUUUUAUUUUUGUGGUUGUUUAUUUUAUUUUUCUGAUUAUUUUAUUUCUCCAGUUGUAUGUUUUAUUUUCUGGCUGUUUAUUUUAUCUUGCCAGUUGUUUGUUUUAUUUUUCCAAUUUUUUAUUUUAUUUUUCCAGUAUUUUCUUUUCUUUUCUUUUUUUGGUUGUUUAUUUUAUUUUCUGGCUGUUUAUUUUAUUUUUCCAGUUGUUUAUUUUCUUUUUUCUUUUUUCGGUUGUUUAUUUUAUUUUCUGGCUGUUUAUUUUAUUUUUCCAGUUGUUUAUUUAAAUUUUUUUGAUUGAUUGUUUAUUUUAUUUUUCCAGUUGUUUAUUUUAUUUUUCUGGUUUAUUUUAUUUUUCUGGUUGUUUAUUUUAUUUUUCCAAUUGUUUAUCUUAUUUUUCCAGUUGUUUAUUUUAUUUUCUGUUGUUUGUUUAAUUUUUUAAAUUUUCCAGUUGUUUACUUUAUUUACCGAGUUUUCUUUCAUUUUCGCAGAUGUUCAUUUGAUUUGUCCAGUUUUUUGUUUUGUUUUCUCAGUUGUUUGUUGUAUUUUUCCACAUGUCUAUUUAUUGUAGUUGUUGUUGUUUACUUUAUUGUCAUUGUUUGUUGCGUACAUGUCCAUUUCUAGCCUCAAAUUUGACAUAUUACACGUGAUGAUAUUAUUGAUUAUGAAUGCAAAUAAUGUAGUGGUGGCUAUCGAUGAAGAGACAUCUUAAACAACAAAAAUGUUUGUUUCAUUCAUAUUUAUCUGUGCUUUUUUCAUGUCUACUACAUUCACAGAUUACUGCAAACUCAAAGUGCAAUUAUAGCGAUUACAUUCAACAUUUUAAGACUUUUUGUAAACUCAAGCACUUUCAGUGUCUUGAAAAGUGGUCUAUUAUGGGAUGGGUACAUUGUUUGAUGGUAGCAGGACUGUCAUAGCUAACGUUAACUCUGGUGCUAGCAGCAACAUGCUUUGCAUUAAGGUGAUCAGUAAACUCUUUGUUGCACAAUUUGCACACAACCACACUUUUAUCCAAGCUGCCAUCGGGAAGAUUGUUAGAAGAAAAUGUUCCACCCAGCAAGCUUAAUGUCGUCUCCUCUUCCUUCAAACUUUCUUGUGCGCUGCCAUUACUCAAUACAUCCUGUGUAUCUUCUUCGCAGCUGGAAAAGACCCUGAUGUGUUUCUAUUAACGUCUCCGUGCUUUUAUAUUGAUAGUCUGGCAUCCUACAAAGUAACUUCC